UACGUAGGGUGCGAGCGUUAAUCGGAAUUACUGGGCGUAAAGCGUGCGCAGGCGGUUCGGAAAGAAAGAUGUGAAAUCCCAGAGCUUAACUUUGGAACUGCAUUUUUAACUCCCGGGCUAGAGUGUGUCAGAGGGGGGUAGAAUUCCACGUGUAGCAGUGAAAUUCGUAGAUAUCGGGAGGAACACCAGUGGCGAAGGCGGCGACCUGGACGGACACUGACGCUGAGACGCGAAAGCGUGGGGAGCAAACAGG
This 253-nucleotide ribosomal RNA is filed under the name uncultured bacterium. RNAcentral's name for it is "partial 16S ribosomal RNA". It matches the Rfam family "Bacterial small subunit ribosomal RNA", at positions 524 to 776 of the family's 1533-position model. The record is from RNAcentral.